This 960-nucleotide long non-coding RNA is filed under the name Monodelphis domestica (gray short-tailed opossum). RNAcentral's name for it is "lncRNA (ENSMODG00000035650.2)". The record is from RNAcentral. Lineage: Eukaryota; Metazoa; Chordata; Mammalia; Didelphimorphia; Didelphidae.
GUCACAAAAGACUUCCUAGUCACCUCCCCUCUUUUUAUAUUACUCCCUCCCAUGUUUUUCUUUAGAUUUUAAAACUAGAUAAAAUCAGGCCUUCCGUUAGAUUACCUGAAUUCUUUCAGGUGACGAGAAUCUCUGAGGCUUAAUUCAUUUAAAUAAACUUCAUUUUCCUACUGCCUUUGGCCAGGUGCCUUCGGAGGCCUGUUUGACAGAAUAGUUUCCGCUCCUGGGGGAGAGUGACCUGUUGUCAUCAAAGUGACCUACCACGAGAUAGAAGAAAUGUCUGAGAGGCUAGUUCUGCCUUUGGACACUUGGUGGCGCUCUAGCUUUAUGAAUGGCUCAAGCCGCUUCUGUUUGCUCCUGGGAAGUCUCCUUCCCUUUCCGCAGCUCGGUGGUGUGGUUUCAGAAUCAGAGGCAUUGUGUUCUGCGGAAGGUCAUAUGGAAAGUUCGAUGGCUGAUUGGAUUAGAAUAUGUACAGCUCAUCAAGAUGAAAGAAAAAGAAUAUGGAAGAAAGACUUCAAAAGCUUCUCAAGACUGAAAGACCUACUCCUCUACCAGCCAGAGUUGUCUUCUCCUCAAGAUUCCAAUCUCCUGGGGCCCAUUCCUCUGUCGAAGUGAUCAGUUUCACACACUCUUCAGCCCAGCACUUUUUCUUUAGUGCCAGCUUCUGUCACACAGGAUAACCCUGAGUUUCAAAACUAAUGGUGUAUAUAAAUAAUGGGAUGCUAAACAGACAACAUAAGAGACUUAUUGCAGAACCAGAGAUCAUCCGGUUCUAUUUAUAUAACUGGCAUCAACAAAAAAGGUAAGGGGAUGAAUUUCAACUUUGAUGCUUUCAAUAUAUCCAUGAUCUUACUAAUGGUUCUUCCACUAACAAUAUAGGUCACAGUCCCUUAUGAAUGAGUAUCUUGGAAAUUUUCUACAGAAGCUCAAAUAGUCCAUAUGAUAUAUGGAAGACAUACA